CCUACGGGUGGCAGCAGUAGGGAAUUUUCGGCAAUGGGGGGAACCCUGCUGCAGCGACGCCGCGUGAGGGAAGAAGGUUUUCGGAUUGUAAACCUCUGUCUUCGGUGACGACACGAGACGGUAGCCGAGGAGGAAGCCACGGCUAACUACGUGCCAGCAGCCGCGGUAAUACGUAGGUGGCAAGCGUUGUCCGGAAUUACUGGGUGUAAAGGGAGCGUAGGCGGGAAAGCAAGUUGAAUGUUUAAGGUACGGGCUCAACCUGUACAAGCGUUCAAAACUGUUUUUCUUGAGUGGAGUAGAGGGAAGCGGAAGUCCUAGUGUAGCGGUGAAAUGCGUAAAUAUUAGGAGGAACACCAGUGGCGAAGGCGGCUUACUGGGCUUUAACUGACGCGGAGGCUCGAAAGCGUGGGUAGCAAACAGGAGUAGAUACCCUUGUAGUC
This 440-nucleotide ribosomal RNA is filed under the name uncultured bacterium. Its description in RNAcentral is "partial 16S ribosomal RNA". It matches the Rfam family "Bacterial small subunit ribosomal RNA", at positions 338 to 795 of the family's 1533-position model. The record is from RNAcentral.